Molecule: non-coding RNA, 26 nt
Filed under: Cricetulus griseus (Chinese hamster)
Lineage: Eukaryota; Metazoa; Chordata; Mammalia; Rodentia; Cricetidae
Source: RNAcentral
UCUGUCGAAUGAACCCAAUGAUUUGU